UUUAAAGACCCGGAGACCUACUAUAGCAGAGACGUUGCAUGUGUUUCUGAUUAUUGUAACUUCAAAUCCGACAUAAAAUCAAUUUGGUUGUGAGACGGAAAGCGCUAGCAUCUUUUUCAGUGUAAAAGUGGGGUUUUCGGGAAAGCGCUGCACGUGUACAUAGAAGGACAUCGCACGGAAACUAACAUGCAUUUAGCUAUAUAGAUAUAAUCGAAUGAGUUAAUACCUCAUCUUUAGAGUGUUUCAGAAUUUUUGAAAUGAUGGUUACCGAAUGUAUUACAGUUUCAAUAUCUACAUGACUAGGCAAUUGAUCUAACCUUUGACGACAGGAUGAGACGGGCGUGUGUACACACGUUUGGAACACGCACGUGUAGAGUCUGAGCCGGUACAGCUUGUUAGGCGCACGACCACGGGGUACGCAUGCUACAGUGUAUAAUUUAUAAGUCGUUUAAAAAAAAUAGAAUUACGAAGCAUGCAUGCAGUUGGGUAAUAUAAUAAGGAAUCAAUAAAUGCGUUAUAUUUCUGCUGGGGUUAUCAAACCCAUGUCAUAAUAAAGGGCAGUAGUAUGAAUUAGCAGUGACAGAUAGCACCAUGGAUGCUGUAGGCGUUUUCCUUUUCUUGUGCAGUGCACUGAUCUUUUACGGACAGACUAUCCUAAGUCUGCCCCAGUGUAAAUGGGCAAACGACGAGUGUUCUGUGAACUCUGACUGCUGCAGUGAACAUUGCGUAUUAAAGAACCCCGGCACACACCAUCGCUGCAAGCAGAGUUUUAUCGGGCAGUACUGCCUGUACAGGUAUCACUGUGAGGACCGACUGAUGUGCGGAUCCAACAAAAAGUGCUGUGCUUCCUACUGGGACCCUUGCUCUAACAACACACACUGUUGUGACCCGGAACAUAAAUGUUUACGAGUGGAUGGAUUCAUCUACAAAGCCUGCCUUUAUCGCUCUCCCAACGGCGCCCAGGCCUCGAGUCCAUCUUCCUUGUGGAGUAAAAUGGUUCUGUGUUGCUUUUUCUUCCUCAGAUUUAUUCAUGCGAGAUAAAAACAAACUUAACUGCACAACGUCAUGCUUUUUCUAUGCAAAAUCGUGACAACCAGUUUGGACAAAGCUGUCGAUCUUCACAUCUCGAUAUCGUGACAACCGGCUUGUACAAAGCUGUGUAUCACGUGAUCUCUGGUUAAUACACCAUUGAGUAGUUUGGACAGAAAUAAUAUAUCACGACCAGUUAGGACGAAGCUGCCGAUCCUCUGGUUAAUAUUCAUGUAUAGCAACGACUAAUAUAUCGCGACAUCCGCGCAGUUUUGACAAAGGCGUAGGCCUUCUGAUAUCUGUUUCAUUUACAUGUAUUGUGAUAACCAGUUUGGUCUAUUUAUCGAAACUGUAACUAACCGAUACUUUUGGGCUUGGUUCACUCGAAUAUAUUUUAUAUGUCUCGUUGUGAAGUUUUCUUCAAUAUAUGUAUUUAUCAUUUUUUUUCAAUUAAUAGAAUAUACCAAUGUAUCAUGUCGCAUAUAUAUUCACGUUGGAAUAUUCAUUAAAUUGUCUUUAAAAUUUA
Long non-coding RNA from Ostrea edulis (European flat oyster), 1555 nucleotides. RefSeq lists it as uncharacterized. The transcript is spliced from 3 exons. NCBI's taxonomy places the organism in Eukaryota, Metazoa, Mollusca, Bivalvia, Ostreida, Ostreidae. The record is from RefSeq and is a predicted model, not a curated record.